UACGUAGGGUGCAAGCGUUGUCCGGAAUUAUUGGGCGUAAAGAGCUCGUAGGCGGUCUGGCGCGUCGAAUGUGAAAACCCGGGGCUCAACCCCGGGCCUGCAUUCGAUACGGGCAGACUAGAGUUCGGUAGGGGAGUCUGGAAUUCCUGGUGUAGCGGUGAAAUGCGCAGAUAUCAGGAGGAACACCGGUGGCGAAGGCGGGUCUCUGGGACGGUACUGACGCUGAGACGCGAAAGCGUGGGGAGCGAACAGG
Molecule: ribosomal RNA, 253 nt
Filed under: uncultured bacterium
Lineage: Bacteria
Description: partial 16S ribosomal RNA
Rfam family: Bacterial small subunit ribosomal RNA
Source: RNAcentral